AAACUGGACGGCGCAUAAGGGGGAAGUGUUACUCACUGCGAAGUCGAUACGAAAGGUCGAUUAGUAAGGAAAGGACACAGAACUUGCUACGCCGGUCAGAAGACAAAAUGAGUUCAGACUGAAGGAGUCACCUGAGAUUGGGCAGCAAUGCAGAUCAAAAGGGAAACUUCAGACUGGACUGAGGGGCCUAAGGGCGAUUUUGUCAAAAUGGCUUCUAC
RNAcentral lists this ribosomal RNA (218 nucleotides) under Tetrahymena borealis. RNAcentral's name for it is "partial large subunit ribosomal RNA". Lineage: Eukaryota; Ciliophora; Oligohymenophorea; Hymenostomatida; Tetrahymenidae. The record is from RNAcentral.